Small nuclear RNA from Mastomys coucha (southern multimammate mouse), 103 nucleotides. Lineage: Eukaryota; Metazoa; Chordata; Mammalia; Rodentia; Muridae. The record is from RefSeq and is a predicted model, not a curated record.
UCAGUUUGGCAGUAAAUACACUAAAAUUGGAAUGAUACAGAGCAGAUUAGUAGUGUCCCUGUUCAAGGAUGAAAGACAAACUCAUGAAGCACUCCAUAUUUUU